AUAUGUAACGUUUUUGUUGUCUU
RNAcentral lists this microRNA (23 nucleotides) under Heliconius melpomene (postman butterfly). Its description in RNAcentral is "Hme-Mir-3327_3p (mature (guide))". Lineage: Eukaryota; Metazoa; Arthropoda; Insecta; Lepidoptera; Nymphalidae. The record is from RNAcentral.